GGGCUCUUGGCGCAGCUGGUAGCGCGUUUUUCUUAUGUGCAUGAAAGGUCGUUGGUUCGAUUCCUAGUGUUCA
Non-coding RNA from Mycena olivaceomarginata, 73 nucleotides. NCBI's taxonomy places the organism in Eukaryota, Fungi, Basidiomycota, Agaricomycetes, Agaricales, Mycenaceae. The record is from the annotation of a GenBank genome assembly.